Molecule: long non-coding RNA, 241 nt
Filed under: Cervus elaphus hippelaphus
Lineage: Eukaryota; Metazoa; Chordata; Mammalia; Artiodactyla; Cervidae
Rfam family: 7SK RNA
About the family: 7SK was discovered as an abundant small nuclear RNA in the mid-70s but a possible function has only recently been suggested. Two independent studies have found that 7SK RNA binds the CDK9/cyclin T complex (known as elongation factor P-TEFb). P-TEFb activates transcription by phosphorylating the C-terminal domain of RNA polymerase II.
Source: RNAcentral
GGAUGUGAGGGCAAUCUGGUUGCGACAUCUGUCACCCCAUUGAUCGCCAGGGUUGAUUCAGCUGAUCUGGCCGGCUAGGCGGGUGUCCCCUUCCUCCCUCACCGCUCCAUGUAUGUCCCUCCUGAAUCUGCGCGCUCGGUGGAAGAGGACGACCAUCCCCGAUAGAGGAGGACCAGUCUUCGGUCAAGGCUAUAUGAGUAGUUGGGCUCCCCUGCUAGAACCUCCAAACAAGCUCUCAAGG